UUCUAGCCCCGAUGGAAGCGGCAUCCUUUUGUUUUUUUCUUUAAAAAACAAAAGAUAUAGCGAACAGCGGGAACGGAA
Molecule: small RNA, 78 nt
Filed under: Flavobacterium branchiophilum
Lineage: Bacteria; Pseudomonadati; Bacteroidota; Flavobacteriia; Flavobacteriales; Flavobacteriaceae
Description: Flavo-1 RNA
Rfam family: Flavo-1 RNA
Source: Rfam by way of RNAcentral